RNAcentral lists this small RNA (1004 nucleotides) under Pan troglodytes (chimpanzee). RNAcentral describes it as "retained intron". The record is from RNAcentral. Lineage: Eukaryota; Metazoa; Chordata; Mammalia; Primates; Hominidae.
AUACAUGUAUUUCAGUAAUUAGAUUAAUUGCAAUUCUCUAUAUUUUUGCAGUUUUGUUUUAUAACAUGAGUUUGGAUGUCAACAGAAAGGCAGAGUCUCCACCAAGAUUCUAUUUUUCUUCUAAUGGAACUUCUGACGUGAUUACAGGAAGCAUACAAGUGUCCAGCAGAGAAGCUAACUGUAGAACACAUCAAGCAUUUAUGCGGAAAGAUGUGCGGGACAUCCUCACCCCAAUUCAGAUUGAAGCUGCUUACCACCUUGGUCCUCAUGUCAUCAGUAAACGAAGUACAGAGGAAUUCCCACCACUUCAGCCAAUUCUUCAGCAGAAGAAAGAAAAAGACAUAAUUAAAAAAACAAUAAACUUUGCAAGGUUUUGUGCCCAUGAAAAUUGUUCUGCUGAUUUACAGGUUUCUGCAAAGAUUGGGUUUUUGAAGCCCCAUGAAAAUAAAACAUAUCUUGCUGUUGGGAGUAUGAAGACAUUGAUGUUGAAUGUGUCCUUGUUUAAUGCUGGAGAUGAUGCAUAUGAAACUACUCUACAUGUCAAACUACCCGUGGGUCUUUAUUUCAUUAAGAUUUUAGAGCUGGAAGAGAAGCAAAUAAACUGUGAAGUCACAGAUAACUCUGGCGUGGUACAACUUGACUGCAGUAUUGGCUAUAUAUAUGUAGAUCAUCUCUCAAGGAUAGAUAUUAGCUUUCUCCUGGAUGUGAGCUCACUCAGCAGAGCGGAAGAGGACCUCAGUAUCACAGUGCAUGCUACCUGUGAAAAUGAAGAGGAAAUGGACAAUCUAAAGCACAGCAGAGUGACUGUAGCAAUACCUUUAAAAUAUGAGGUUAAGCUGACUGUUCAUGGGUUUGUAAACCCAACUUCAUUUGUGUAUGGAUCAAAUGAUGAAAAUGAGCCUGAAACGUGCAUGGUGGAGAAAAUGAACUUAACUUUCCAUGUAAGAAAAGUUAAUUGUGUUAAUAUUUGUAACAACCUAAAAGGAUGUCACUGAUGCAUUGCU